RNAcentral lists this small nucleolar RNA (131 nucleotides) under Erinaceus europaeus (western European hedgehog). RNAcentral describes it as "Small nucleolar RNA SNORA44 (ENSEEUG00000023637.1)". It matches the Rfam family "Small nucleolar RNA SNORA44". Rfam says of the family: ACA44 is a member of the H/ACA class of snoRNA that guide the sites of modification of uridines to pseudouridines. Lineage: Eukaryota; Metazoa; Chordata; Mammalia; Eulipotyphla; Erinaceidae. The record is from Rfam by way of RNAcentral.
AUGCAUGUUUCUAAGGUUUAUGACUGGUAUCAAUUAUGGGAUCUCCAACUGCAUGGGAAAAUAACCUGAAGAAACUUUGACAACACAGGUCGUCAUAGUAACUGUAGUUGUCAUUCAUUUUCCCUAUGUUU